GAAUGUAAGCAAAAAGCCUCAAUGCCAAGAGGUUAACUUGUAUGUUUACUGUUAUUAUUCUAUUUGUGAUAGGUUGUCAACCGAUAUAUUGAUGAAGGUGUAGCAGAGCUUGUCCCUGGAGUUCUAUUUAUUGAUGAGGUGCACAUGCUAGAUAUGGAAUGCUUUUCCUAUUUGAAUCGUGCUUUAGAGAGCUCGCUCUCUCCAAUAGUAAUUUUUGCCACAAACAGAGGGAUAUGCAAUGUGAGGUGAGAUCAAGAGAAAAUAUGAGAGAGAAACUAUUUAAGGAUGAGAGAGAAAUUCAAAAUUUAGAAGAUCCAAAUCCAAAGAUUACAAGGACAAUGGCUACAAGCGGUGUCCAGAUAAUUAAGGCAUACAAUUUUUUUUCUCGGUGAUAUGACUUAUUGUUAAUAAUCUCGUUUAAACUCUCUAUUUAUUUGUUUCUUUAUUUCUUUUAAGCUCCAGUUUGUCCAUGGAAAUUCUUGUGUUAAUAUUCAUCAAUAACAAAUGACACCAGAUUGG
This is a non-coding RNA of Arachis ipaensis, 519 nucleotides long. The record is from RefSeq and is a predicted model, not a curated record. Lineage: Eukaryota; Viridiplantae; Streptophyta; Magnoliopsida; Fabales; Fabaceae.